RNAcentral lists this long non-coding RNA (241 nucleotides) under Lathyrus oleraceus (garden pea). RNAcentral describes it as "Pisum sativum (pea) long non-coding RNA (PSAT_LNC041895)". The record is from RNAcentral. Lineage: Eukaryota; Viridiplantae; Streptophyta; Magnoliopsida; Fabales; Fabaceae.
UUCAGUUACAAGUCACCAUGUUCAAUCUAAUGGGGCACCCUACUCAGAGAGGCUUUUUGAUCCCAUUCUUUUUGCAAUGUGUUAACAUCAUGGCCAAAAAUGUGCCAAGAAAUAUUUCAAUUGGAUGAUUGAGCACAAAUUUAUGUCAUGUUGAAGUUGGCAUGAAAAACUGAUCACGUAACUUAGAAAAAUUCGAGUGCUUCAUGGCUGAAAAUGACUUAUAAUGUUUCAAUGAAUUCCA